Molecule: ribosomal RNA, 505 nt
Filed under: uncultured Chloroflexota bacterium
Lineage: Bacteria; Bacillati; Chloroflexota
Description: bacterial SSU rRNA
Rfam family: Bacterial small subunit ribosomal RNA
Source: RNAcentral
CGAAAGCCUGAUGCAGCAACGCCGCGUGUGUGAUGAAGGCCUUCGGGUCGUAAAGCACUUUUCUGGGAGAUGAGAAAGGACAGUAUCCCAGGAAUAAGUCUCGGCUAACUACGUGCCAGCAGCCGCGGUAAAACGUAGGAGGCGAGCGUUAUCCGGAUUCACUGGGCGUAAAGCGCGUGCAGGUGGCGCGGUAAGUUGGGCGUGAAAUCUCCCGGCUCAACUGGGAGAGGUCGUCCAAUACUACCGUGCUUGAGAGCAGAAGAGGAAGAUGGAAUUCCCGGUGUAGUGGUGAAAUGCGUAGAUAUCGGGAGGAACACCAGUGGCGAAGGCGAUCUUCUGGUCUGUUUCUGACACUCAGACGCGACAGCUAGGGUAGUAAACGGGAUUAGAGACCCCGGUAAUCCUAGCCGUAAACGAUGUGAACUUGGCGUUGGUGGGUUAAACUCCAUCAGUGCCGUAGCAAACGCGAUAAGUUCACCGCCUGGGGACUAUGGCCGCAAGGUUA